Molecule: long non-coding RNA, 2716 nt
Organism: Heterocephalus glaber (naked mole-rat)
Lineage: Eukaryota; Metazoa; Chordata; Mammalia; Rodentia; Bathyergidae
Source: RefSeq, a predicted model, not a curated record
CGCCAGGGGUCCGGCAGCUGCGGCCAAUAGGCGUGCAGGGGCCGGGCGGGCUGCUGGGAUUACCAGUGCGGGACGGGCGGUCGGGCGGGCACAGACCCGAACGGCCCAAUAGGCGCGGGGGCCCCUAGUUUACAGCCCGCCCUCCCUACCAGCGCGCGUAUCCGGCUGUGGAAAAUUUGCGGCGUGAGGUGCAGUCGCCCAACUCCUGUCCCCUCGGCCUAGGGAUCCUCCUCCAUCUCCAAGGCCUAGAGGGCUCUCGGGCUUCUCCGAAGACCUCGCCCCUCGAGAGCCUGUUUCCUUGUGGAGACGUGGGGCGCAGUGUAGGUUGGUCACGGUCGCUGGAUGCCGACGGACGCCUCAUCCAGUUCUCCAGGUCGUGAGCGCGACCAGACCACUCCCUCAGGCCCAAGGCUCCGGAUUUUAACGGGUCUGCGCAAUCCCGCGCGAACCUGACAAGAAAGGGACCAAUCUCUUUGGAACAGCUUCCCAGAUCCUGCCUGAUUCUUAAAAUACACAUCCCUGCUCCAGAGCCUAUGACUGUGAAACACCCCAGCCUGACCCUGGGCCACUUCGGCUCCUUGGGGCAGACACAACCAAUCCUCUGCUCAACACAUUUUAUUGCUAAGGACAAGAGACUUCAGAGUUCCGAGUGUCUGCUGUGCUGUGGAACACCAGAGUGCUCUCGCCUCAAAGGCUGGGAACCUUCUGGACCCAGGAAGCACCUACUCCAUGAUGGCCCGGUACAGCGCAGGUUCAAUGUAAUCUUCCCGGUAUCUAGAGUUGAUGACCCGCUGCCGUUUCUUUUCUUGCUUAACCUCUUUCUCCGUGAAAAUCUCGUUGAAGCGCAUAUCUGAGGCUACUGACUGCAGAAGAACAGGCAAGCCAAAUCAUCAUUUUAUAGCCAACUAUCCGAAUGGGAAAACAGACACCCCUGCCAUGUUCCCUUGUGUUCCUGGGACCAAAGGCACACAGGAAACAUACUCACCAGUCUAGACUUGACUCUCUUGGGAAGCUCUUCAUCCAGCGUAUAUACAUCAUCUCUCUUAACCACAAGCUGUGAGCCAUCCUCAAAUUCCACCUGCCAAUGAAACAAAGGCCUUCUAGCUAGGGAACUUUUGAGUUUCCCUGGUCCACACCAUGAGAAUGGCAGUUUCCUACAGCUAACGUAAGGACUGCCAGGUCUGAAGCUGCACUAGUGAACUAGAUAUGGCAACAGACCUCUAGCUCUAAAAAGGUUGUUACUGACCCACAGUACGCUUGAGAGUAAAGACUCACCUCUCAAGAGGAAGCACUAAAUCAAGUACCCCACACCCCUAAUAGGAACCUUUGGCUACCUGGUACAUCUGUUCACCAUAGUUUGUUGGGGUUUUUUUUGGUACCGGGGAUCAAACUCAGGUCCUUGCGCUUGCGCAGCAGGCAGCGAAACCACUGAGCUAAAUCCCCCGCCCAUACCUGGUACAUCUGGAUGGGGUGGGAAGCCACAAAUUUAGCUCCAUAGACUUGGCCAUCUGUCCAUCUCACUUGGACCACUUCCCCUUCAGCAGGAGGACCCAACUGGAGACAGUCCUGGCUCUGAAGAAAGAAGAAGGUAAAAUGAAAGGAAGGUCCACUUGAGCACAAUAGUAACAGACAUCUACUCAGGGGAAAAUGAGCCACUAUAGAUGAUACUCCUGCUUUGACACUGUAGUAGGCCACUUAUUCUGGGGUGAAAGAUGUAACCCGCUUGCUAAGUCAUAGUCUGCCCUGUAUCUCUUGUCCUGCUACUUCUAGGUGACAAAAUGAACAGCUAUGGACCAGGGAUUUAGCUCAGUGGUGCCGCUGCCUGCCUCGCAAGCACAAGGACCUGAGUUCAAUACCCGGUACCAAAAAAAAAAAAAAACAGCUAUAAUGAAUUUAACAAACUUAAUAAGCACAAGACCGGUGCCAAAAUCAGUAAUCUUCACAUCUACUCGUGUCCUUCAUAUUCCAGAGCGCUCUCAUGAAGAAACAAUAGAAGUAUACUUAAAAUUUAAGAAAGAUGUUUUUAAAAUACAAGCAAGAUAUGAAAAGAAAGGACAGGAUUACCUAUCAGGGAUCUUGGCACAAUACAUGAGGACCUUUACUCCUUCUAGAAAAGACUAUCUUAAGAUGAAUGUUUACUGUAUCCCAGCUUAAGGCUUGGUACACAGUUAUGGUGGUUGAAAGAAAAGACAGACCUGGGAGAAGAUGGCCUAAAAAGUAUACAUUACAGAAAUGGGGACAGCAAGUCUGAAAGGUUGUAGAUGUCCAAAACUGCUCUGAUAGACACCAUACUGUGUGAAAAACCAGAAAAAGUUCUGUCCUGUCUUGCCAGUUCAUUUCCUGAGGAAAAGCAGUUCUAUACUAUAUUGCUAAUUCAUUUAUGAGCAGGUAAUCAAAAACUGAGGUAGAAACUUUGACUAACCAAACAUGAUGUUUGAUAAAUCACUUACAUUCUCUGCAAUUCAAUUUUACCUCCCAGAACAGCACUUCUCAAAGAGUGGUCUACAAACCUCUGAGGGGCUUCUGAGACACUUGCAAGGAACAUGUGAGGGUCAUGACUGAUUUCCUAACAUUAAGACACUGGCCUUUCUCACAUUGGCAUUGGCAGUGAUGGCACAAAAUCUGUGAAUUACUGGUCAUGUGUAUAAUUCAGUCAGUGGCCUCAAGUUCUACCAGUCAUUAUUGCAUCCUUCACCAUUCUGCAUGCAAAAUUUAA